UCACCAAGCCAUAUUACCCUGCAGCCCAAGACCGGUUACUCACUGAAGUUAAGCAGGGCUGAGUCUGUUUAGUACCAGAUGGGAGGCCACAUGGAGAAACUAGGUUGCUUUUGGAA
RNAcentral lists this ribosomal RNA (116 nucleotides) under Danio rerio (zebrafish). Lineage: Eukaryota; Metazoa; Chordata; Actinopteri; Cypriniformes; Danionidae. The record is from RNAcentral.